UGCAUCUCCAAAAAGCGGAGGAAAAGAAACCAACAGGGAUUGCCUUAGUAGCGGCGAGUGAGCGGCAAAAGCUCAAAUUUGAAAUCUGGCGUAUUCUGCGUCCGAGUUGUAAUUUGAAGAAGGAUACUUUGGGGUUGGCUCUUGUCUAUGUUUCUUGGAACAGAACGUCACAGAGGGUGAGAAUCCCGUGCGAUGAGAAGCCCAAUUCCGUGUAAAGUGCCUUCGAAGAGUCGAGUUGUUUGGGAAUGCAGCUCUAAGUGGGUGGUAAAUUCCAUCUAAAGCUAAAUAUUGGCGAGAGACCGAUAGCGAACAAGUACAGUGAUGGAAAGAUGAAAAGAACUUUGAAAAGAGAGUGAAAAAGUACGUGAAAUUGUUGAAAGGGAAGGGCUUGAGAUCAGACUUGGUAUUUUGUAUGUCUUGCUUUCGGGUGGGGCCUCUGCAGUUUACUGGGCCAGCAUCGGUUCGGGUGGUAGGACAAUUGCGAAGGAACGUGGCACUGCUUCGGUGGUGUGUUAUAGCCUUUGUGGAUACUGCCUGUCUGGACCGAGGACUGCGUCAUUUGACUAGGAUGCUGGCAUAAUGAUCUUAAGUCGCCCGUCUUGAACCCACGGACACA
This 616-nucleotide ribosomal RNA is filed under the name Hemisphaericaspora elongata. RNAcentral describes it as "Spathaspora elongata partial large subunit ribosomal RNA". It matches the Rfam family "Eukaryotic large subunit ribosomal RNA", at positions 37 to 669 of the family's 3401-position model. Lineage: Eukaryota; Fungi; Ascomycota; Pichiomycetes; Serinales; Debaryomycetaceae. The record is from RNAcentral.